Molecule: long non-coding RNA, 231 nt
Filed under: Musa acuminata (dwarf banana)
Lineage: Eukaryota; Viridiplantae; Streptophyta; Magnoliopsida; Zingiberales; Musaceae
Description: long non-coding RNA (MACU_LNC011190)
Source: RNAcentral
UCCUUGUUUUCUUCCCUUUCUUUCUCUUAUUUUUCUGUCUUUUUCUUCUCUUCUUUGUUGCUGCGAAGAUCACCACGUUGCUGUCCUUUUCUGCCCAAAAAAGGCAACCACCUUCUUGCCAAAACGCAGCCACCACACCCCCCUUAUAUUGAUCUAGGGUUAGGUUAAGAGGGGGUGUGGGCUAUGAGCUGAUAAAGCACACAUGGGCUGAAUAUGGGCUGUCAGCCCAAC